Molecule: ribosomal RNA, 468 nt
Filed under: uncultured bacterium
Lineage: Bacteria
Description: bacterial SSU rRNA
Rfam family: Bacterial small subunit ribosomal RNA
Source: RNAcentral
UCCAGACUCCUACGGGAGGCAGCAGUGAGGAAUAUUGGUCAAUGGGCGCGAGCCUGAACCAGCCAAGUCGCGUGAGGGAUGACGGCCCUACGGGUUGUAAACCUCUUUUGUCGGGGAGCAAAUUCCGUUACGUGUAACGGAGUCGAGAGUACCCGAAGAAAAAGCAUCGGCUAACUCCGUGCCAGCAGCCGCGGUAAUACGUAGGGGGCAAGCGUUAUCCGGAAUUACUGGGUGUAAAGGGAGCGUAGACGGUAAUGCAAGUCUGGAGUGAAAGGCGGGGGCCCAACCCCCGGACUGCUCUGGAAACUGUGUAACUGGAGUGCAGGAGAGGCAGGCGGAAUUCCUAGUGUAGCGGUGAAAUGCGUAGAUAUUAGGAGGAACACCAGUGGCGAAGGCGGCCUGCUGGACUGUAACUGACGUUGAGGCUCGAAAGCGUGGGGAGCAAACAGGAUUAGAUACCCUUGUACC